UCCUUCGGUUUCCGUAAAGCUCUAGAAGAAUCUUCAUCUUUCUAAUUUCUCACUCUCCAUCACAAAAUUUCAUUAGAAUCUGCCGACAAAAAUUUUCUCCUAACAGUGUUGUGGCCAAAUACUCGAGGAGUAACUCCAUUGUUACCAUCGAAACCAAAACACAAAUUGAAUUAGACCCUUCAAAACAAUCUCCAAAUCACCCAUUUUAAUUGAAAUCAUCGGAAAUUUUUAUACAGGUUAGGAAUUGAUGCUUCAUUUUUUUGGGAAAAACCAGAGAUACCUUACCUUGUAACAUGAGCCCAAGAUAACUAAUGAGGAUGAGUUAUGAAAAUAAAGUUAUGUGAUUUCAGGGAUAGUAAAAGUAGGCUAUUAAGCUCGAUAUUGUAUAAGCUCCCAAAGUUGAAAAGGUACUGUCUAAGAAAUAAGGAUGAGAAGAUGCAAGAACUGGCUCUGCAACAUUGGCUAAAAAGUUGAUCAUUUCAAUAGGGAAGCACCAUUCUUCAGGCGAUGUGGUAAUGCCACUAUCUACGAGCAACAACAUCUUUAUAUGCAUAACAAUUUUUCAGAUGCUUCUCCUACAAAAUGAUCAGUUGAGCAUCUUUCGAAGAACUGCAAUCAGCCAUACUGCAAACAUAGUUGAAAGAAGCCUCUCGACGAUGCAUUCCAAAGUAAAUUAGUUGUGGAUGCUUAAAGGAUGUAUAUGAUUGAGGAGCUUGAUAUGUGAUUUCCAAGCUCAAG
Long non-coding RNA from Solanum pennellii, 738 nucleotides. RefSeq lists it as uncharacterized. The record is from RefSeq and is a predicted model, not a curated record. NCBI's taxonomy places the organism in Eukaryota, Viridiplantae, Streptophyta, Magnoliopsida, Solanales, Solanaceae. The transcript has 3 exons.